Molecule: ribosomal RNA, 459 nt
Filed under: uncultured bacterium
Lineage: Bacteria
Description: partial 16S ribosomal RNA
Rfam family: Bacterial small subunit ribosomal RNA
Source: RNAcentral
CCUACGGGCGGCAGCAGUGAGGAAUAUUGGUCAAUGGACGCAAGUCUGAACCAGCCAUGCCGCGUGCAGGAAGACGGCUCUAUGAGUUGUAAACCGCUUUUGCACGGGGAUAACACCCUCCACUUGUGGAGGUCUGCAGGUACCGUGCGAAUAAGGGCCGGCUAAUUCCGUGCCAGCAGCCGCGGUAAUACGGAAGGCCCGAGCGUUAUCCGGAUUCAUUGGGCUUAAAGGGAGCGUAGGCGGGCGUUCAAGUCAGCUGUAAAAUCGCGCGGCUCAACCGCGCCCCGCAGUUGAAACUGGGCGCCUUGAGUUCACGACAGGCAGGCGGAAUUCGUGGUGUAGCGGUGAAAUGCAUAGAUAUCACGAGGAACCCCGAUUGCGAAGGCAGCCUGCCGGGGUGCGACUGACGCUGAGGCUCGAAGGUGCGGGUAUCAAACAGGAUUAGAUACCCCUGUAGUC